UAGUACGGCGAGUGAGCGGCAACAGCUCAAAUUUGAAAGCUAGCCUUCGGGUUCGCAUUGUAAUUUGUAGAGGAUGAUUUGGGGAAGCCGCCUGUCUAAGUUCCUUGGAACAGGACGUCAUAGAGGGUGAGAAUCCCGUAUGUGACAGGAAAUGGCACCCUAUGUAAAUCUCCUUCGACGAGUCGAGUUGUUUGGGAAUGCAGCUCUAAAUGGGAGGUAAAUUUCUUCUAAAGCUAAAUAUUGGCGAGAGACCGAUAGCGCACAAGUAGAGUGAUCGAAAGAUGAAAAGCACUUUGGAAAGAGAGUUAAAAAGCACGUGAAAUUGUUGAAAGGGAAGCGCUUGCAAUCAGACUUGUUUAAACUGUUCGGCCGGUCUUCUGACCGGUUUACUCAGUUUGGACAGGCCAGCAUCAGUUUCGGCGGCCGGAUAAAGGCUCUGGGAAUGUGGCCUCCACUUCGGUGGAGGUGUUAUAGCCCAGGGUGUAAUACGGCCAGCCGGGACUGAGGUCCGCGCUUCGGCUAGGAUGCUGGCGUAAUGGUUGUAAGCGACCCGUCUU
RNAcentral lists this ribosomal RNA (557 nucleotides) under Aureobasidium pullulans. RNAcentral's name for it is "eukaryotic LSU rRNA". It matches the Rfam family "Eukaryotic large subunit ribosomal RNA", at positions 81 to 655 of the family's 3401-position model. Lineage: Eukaryota; Fungi; Ascomycota; Dothideomycetes; Dothideales; Saccotheciaceae. The record is from RNAcentral.